Molecule: ribosomal RNA, 537 nt
Filed under: Pentidotea wosnesenskii
Lineage: Eukaryota; Metazoa; Arthropoda; Malacostraca; Isopoda; Idoteidae
Description: bacterial SSU rRNA
Rfam family: Eukaryotic small subunit ribosomal RNA
Source: RNAcentral
UAGGGUUCGAUUCCGGAGAGGGAGCCUGAGAAACGGCUACCACAUCUAAGGAAGGCAGCAGGCACGCAAAUUACCCACUCCCGGCACGGGGAGGUAGUGACGAAAAAUAACGAUGCGGGACUCUUCCGAGGCCUCGCAAUCGGAAUGAGUCUACCCUAAAUCCUUGGACGAGGAUCCAUUGGAGGGCAAGUCUGGUGCCAGCAGCCGCGGUAAUUCCAGCUCCAAUAGCGUAUAUUAAAGUUGCUGCGGUUAAAAAGCUCGUAGUUGGACUUCUAGUUCGGUCCGGCGGCCCAUCCAAGGCGUGCCCUUGUCAAUCGUGAUCGGGAUAUCUUUGGCUUCACCUGUCUCGGUGGUCGCGUGGGCGAGAGAAGUAAACGCAGCUAGGUGUCGUGUUGGAUAUCACGGAAAUCCUCGCUCUCUCCGCAGGUAUGCGCUUGGUGCGUGCGUCGCGGUGGUGGGAUCAAGGUGGCUGUGUUGUUGUUACUCUUGGGUUCUGGGUUCUCUCAGUUCCCAUUUGUAGUACUCAUGGUCAUCCCC